This 173-nucleotide transfer RNA is filed under the name Marmota monax (woodchuck). RNAcentral describes it as "tRNA.Undet". Lineage: Eukaryota; Metazoa; Chordata; Mammalia; Rodentia; Sciuridae. The record is from RNAcentral.
GGGAUUGUGGCUCAGUGGUAGAGCGCUUGAAAGGUAUUUAAAAAAAAAAAAAAAAUGUAAAUUAGAGGUUUUGUUCCAUUUGGAAAAAAUGUGUUUUCAUUCAUUUUCUUUUAACCCUGAAAGAAUUUUUUUUUUGGGGGGGUGCUUGGGUCAAAUCCAAGACAUCAUUCCCA